RNAcentral lists this ribosomal RNA (462 nucleotides) under Vreelandella stevensii. RNAcentral's name for it is "partial 16S ribosomal RNA". It matches the Rfam family "Bacterial small subunit ribosomal RNA", at positions 338 to 792 of the family's 1533-position model. Lineage: Bacteria; Pseudomonadati; Pseudomonadota; Gammaproteobacteria; Oceanospirillales; Halomonadaceae. The record is from RNAcentral.
CCUACGGGUGGCAGCAGUGGGGAAUAUUGGACAAUGGGCGAAAGCCUGAUCCAGCCAUGCCGCGUGUGUGAAGAAGGCCUUCGGGUUGUAAAGCACUUUCAGUGGGGAAGAAAGCCUUGGGGCUAAUACCCUCGAGGAAGGACAUCACCCACAGAAGAAGCACCGGCUAACUCCGUGCCAGCAGCCGCGGUAAUACGGAGGGUGCGAGCGUUAAUCGGAAUUACUGGGCGUAAAGCGCGCGUAGGCGGUCUGAUAAGCCGGUUGUGAAAGCCCCGGGCUCAACCUGGGAACGGCAUCCGGAACUGGCAGGCUAGAGUGCAGGAGAGGAAGGUAGAAUUCCCGGUGUAGCGGUGAAAUGCGUAGAGAUCGGGAGGAAUACCAGUGGCGAAGGCGGCCUUCUGGACUGACACUGACGCUGAGGUGCGAAAGCGUGGGUAGCAAACAGGAUUAGAUACCCUAGUA